AGACUCAACCUUUCGGGUUCUACCCGGCUGGUUGGAUUUGGGCGUUGCCUAUUGCUGGCUCGCCUUAAAAGCGUUAGUGGUGUGAUGGUGGACCUGGUGUAAUACGUUUCGUCGAGUUUACUUGAAGCACUGCUCAUAACAACCAUACUUGUAA
This 154-nucleotide unclassified non-coding RNA is filed under the name uncultured Cryptococcus. Its description in RNAcentral is "sequence contains ITS2". Lineage: Eukaryota; Fungi; Basidiomycota; Tremellomycetes. The record is from RNAcentral.